RNAcentral lists this ribosomal RNA (253 nucleotides) under uncultured bacterium. RNAcentral describes it as "partial 16S ribosomal RNA". It matches the Rfam family "Bacterial small subunit ribosomal RNA", at positions 524 to 776 of the family's 1533-position model. The record is from RNAcentral.
UACAGAGGGGGCAAGCGUUGUUCGGAAUUACUGGGCGUAAAGGGCGCGUAGGCGGCCUGCUAAGUCGAACGGGAAAUCCCUGGGCUCAACCCAGGAACUGCGUCCGAUACUGGUUGGCUUGAAUCCGGGAGAGGGAUGUGGAAUUCCAGGUGUAGCGGUGAAAUGCGUAGAUAUCCGGAGGAACACCGGUGGCGAAGGCGACAUCCUGGACCGGUAUUGACGCUGAGGCGCGAAAGCCAGGGGAGCAAACGGG